RNAcentral lists this transfer RNA (74 nucleotides) under Leptospira sp. RNAcentral's name for it is "tRNA-Ile". It matches the Rfam family "tRNA". From Rfam's summary of the family: Transfer RNA (tRNA) molecules are approximately 80 nucleotides in length. The record is from RNAcentral. Lineage: Bacteria; Pseudomonadati; Spirochaetota; Leptospiria; Leptospirales; Leptospiraceae. RNAcentral also lists the same sequence under 27 other names.
GGGCCUAUAGCUCAGUUGGUUAGAGCAGCAGACUCAUAAUCUGCGGGUCGAAGGUUCGAGCCCUUCUGGGCCCA